GAUAGCUGGUUCUCCCCGAAAUAGCUUUAGGGCUAGCCUCAGGUAGUAAGUAUAGGCGGUAGAGCACUGAUCGGGCUAGGGGCCAUAAAGGUUACCGAACCCUGUCAAACUCCGAAUGGAUAUACUGCAGAGCCUGGGAGUCAGACUACGAGUGAUAAGAUCCGUGGUCAAAAGGGAAACAGCCCAGACCACCGGCUAAGGUCCCAAAUGCCGUACUAAGUGGAAAAGGAUGUGGGGAUUCAUAAACAACCAGGAUGUUGGCUCAGAAGCAGCCACCAUUUAAAGAGUGCGUAAUAGCUCACUGGUCGAGAGUCCCUGCGCCGAAAAUUUCCGGGGCUAAAGUACGGAACCGAAGCCGUGGCUGUGUACUAAGUACACGGGGUAGGGGAGCGUUGCCACAGGGGUGAAGCUGGUCUGGAAGGACUGGUGGACUUGUGGGAAGUGAGAAUGUUGGUAUGAGUAGCGAAAAGAAAGGUGAGAAUCCUUUCCACCGAAAGCAUAAGGAUUCCUGAGCAACGAUCGUCGUCUCAGGGUAAGUCGGGACCUAAUCCGAGGCAAAGAGCGUAGGAGAUGGACAACAGGUUGAUAUUCCUGUACCGGCAGCAAUUGUUUGAGCGAAGGAGUGACACAGAAGGGCAGGCAGGCGCGAGACUGGAUUGUCGCGUGCAAGCGUGUAGGGUAGUGUACAGGCAAAUCCGUACACUUAGAGCCUGAGGCGUUACGCGGAGCGAGCAGAGAUGCGAGCGAAGCUGCUGAUCCCACACUGUCGAGAAAAGCUUCUAGUGAGAGAGCUGCCGCCCGUACCGUAAACCGACACAGGUAUGCGGGGAGAGAAUCCUAAGGUGCGCGGGAGAACCCUCGUUAAGGAACUCGGCAAAAUGUACCCGUAACUUCGGGAUAAGGGUAGCCGUCUUGGUGAAGGAGCAUGCCUCUGGAGCUGAAGGCGGUCGCAGAGAAGAGGCCCAAGCGACUGUUUACCACAAACACAGGUGCCUGCUAAAGCGAAAGCUGACGUAUAGGUGCUGACACCUGCCCAGUGCUGGAAGGUUAAGGAAGGAUGUCCGGGCAACCAAAGCAUUCGACCGAAGCCCCAGUGAACGGCGGCCGUAACUAUAACGGUCCUAAGGUAGCGAAAUUCCUUGUCGGGUAAGUUCCGACCCGCACGAAAGGUGUAACGAUUUGGGCACUGUCUCAACGAGGGACCCGGUGAAAUUGAAAUACCUGUGAAGAUGCAGGUUACCCGCGACUGGACAGAAAGACCCCAUGGAGCUUUACUGUAACCUGACAUUGGGUUUUGUUGUAUUACGUACAGGAUAGGUGGGAGGCUUGGAAGGCUGGACGCUAGUCUGGCUGGAGCCGGCGUUGGGAUACCACCCUUGAUACAACGGAAUUCUAACCGAGAGAUUAACGAAAUCCGGGACAGUGUCAGGCGGGCAGUUUGACUGGGGCGGUCGCCUCCGAAAGAG
Molecule: ribosomal RNA, 1466 nt
Filed under: human gut metagenome
Description: bacterial LSU rRNA
Rfam family: Bacterial large subunit ribosomal RNA
Source: RNAcentral